GCGAAAAAUUGCUCUGCAUUUAUGCGUGAGGUAUUUGUGUACACGUUUGUUUGAUUUCGUUUGAAAGUUAAAAACUUAUGGAAUGGAUGCCGGACUUGAGGCCACGCGCGUUGUCACGUAGACAGCGGGUUUGCCUGUGUUAAAAAGGCUUACAGACAAAGCGACGUUAAGACAAUGGACAAGUUGAGUUGGCAGCGUGGUGGUGGCGUAACUGGAAGUCGUUCAUAGGCAAACACUUCAAUGCGCUACCUAGCAUACGGAAAUAUUAGUACUUCCGAUUUAUGUCUGCCUACCCCGGCGUUGUCAUGCGAAGACAUGCAGCGACGGUGAAGAAACCUGUUUGUGUUUAUUGAAGAACCCAGGUUUCCUUUUCACGAACACCGACCGGCCAGUGCAGCUGCUCGCUCCUGGAUUAUCUGCAGCACGGCGCGACUACUUGCGUGAUAACGUGCGACCUCUAGUGUCAGCUCGGGGUCAGGAAGGCUUCGCGUGUUAGACAGAAUGUAACAUGUUUACUAUUCUAACUGUGCGUAGUGUUUAUGUUACCAGUUUUAGUUAAUGUAUUAUGCAUUCUGUACGUUUGUUUGUAUAACAAAAAAUAUAUAAACAUACCGAUUUCAUUUAAAUUAUCAAACAAACUACGGUAUUUAUGUUCGUGAAGAACAACAUAAAUAAAUAUUUACACAUUAUAUGACAUAACCAAACAGUAACACAUUUACGUCAUCGGUAUCAACAAAAACAUUGUUGAAAUUGUAAAUAAUGAUGACGGACAUUUCCAAAUAAAAUAUAUACGACGUGCGUUCGAAAAUAAAAUGAAAUAUGACGCGGCGUCAAAAUUACGACGUAAUGACGCUCACUUAAGCGUCACAUGGGUUAACGAAAAUGUAAAUUAGUUUAGGUUAUAGUCUGAAAAGUAUGACAUUGUAUACAUAUAUGGAACCGGAAAAGAACGUAGA
This is a long non-coding RNA of Dreissena polymorpha, 956 nucleotides long. RefSeq lists it as uncharacterized. Lineage: Eukaryota; Metazoa; Mollusca; Bivalvia; Myida; Dreissenidae. The transcript is spliced from 3 exons. The record is from RefSeq and is a predicted model, not a curated record.